Molecule: non-coding RNA, 162 nt
Organism: Lentisphaerae bacterium GWF2_38_69
Lineage: Bacteria; Pseudomonadati; Lentisphaerota
Source: Rfam
AAAAACCCAACCUAGGUAAAGCCUAACCAGCAGCCUAGAACUGAACCUCGCAUAUGGCAAGGUAACAAACCAUAUGAAGCCGAGGGAAAGGCAGUCUGUCAGCCGCAAUGCGUAAGCUCAGCGUGAAGGUAUUCAGCCCCGAAAUAUUAAUUGUUCCGAGAG